AACGAACGCUGGCGGCAUGCCUAACACAUGCAAGUCGAACGAAGGCUUCGGCCUUAGUGGCGCACGGGUGCGUAACGCGUGGGAAUCUGCCCUUUGGUUCGGAAUAACAGCUGGAAACGGCUGCUAAUACCGGAUGAUGACGAAAGUCCAAAGAUUUAUCGCCAGAGGAUGAGCCCGCGUUGGAUUAGGUAGUUGGUGGGGUAAAGGCCUACCAAGCCGACGAUCCAUAGCUGGUCUGAGAGGAUGAUCAGCCACACUGGGACUGAGACACGGCCCAGACUCCUACGGGAGGCAGCAGUGGUGAAUAAUGGACGCUGGGCGAAAGCCUGAUCCAUCAAUGCCGGGUGAGUGAUGAAGGCCCUAGGGUUGUAAAGCUCUUUUACCCGGGAAGAUAAUGACUGUACCGGGAGAAUAAGCCCCGGCUAACUCCGU
RNAcentral lists this ribosomal RNA (432 nucleotides) under uncultured bacterium. Its description in RNAcentral is "partial 16S ribosomal RNA". It matches the Rfam family "Bacterial small subunit ribosomal RNA", at positions 29 to 506 of the family's 1533-position model. The record is from RNAcentral.